Molecule: ribosomal RNA, 253 nt
Filed under: uncultured bacterium
Lineage: Bacteria
Description: partial 16S ribosomal RNA
Rfam family: Bacterial small subunit ribosomal RNA
Source: RNAcentral
UACGUAGGCAGCAAGCGUUGUUCGGAGUUACUGGGCGUAAAGAGUGUGUAGGCGGUUUCCUAAGUCUGGUGUGAAAUCUCCCGGCUUAACUGGGAGGGUGCGCCGGAAACUGGGAAGCUUGAGUGUGGGAGAGGGAAGUGGAAUUCCUGGUGUAGCGGUGAAAUGCGUAGAUAUCAGGAGGAACACCGGCGGUGUAGACGGCUUCCUGGACCACCACUGACGCUGAGACACGAAAGCGUGGGGAGCAAACAGG